GGCUGGGUAGUUUAGUUGGUUAGAAUAUUGCCCUGAUAAGCCAAAGUUGUAGGUUCGAUUCCUAGUUAGGGCA
This 73-nucleotide transfer RNA is filed under the name Myotis davidii. It matches the Rfam family "tRNA". From Rfam's summary of the family: Transfer RNA (tRNA) molecules are approximately 80 nucleotides in length. The record is from Rfam by way of RNAcentral. Lineage: Eukaryota; Metazoa; Chordata; Mammalia; Chiroptera; Vespertilionidae.